RNAcentral lists this ribosomal RNA (254 nucleotides) under uncultured bacterium. Its description in RNAcentral is "partial 16S ribosomal RNA". It matches the Rfam family "Bacterial small subunit ribosomal RNA", at positions 524 to 776 of the family's 1533-position model. The record is from RNAcentral.
UACAUAGGGAGCAAGCGUUAUCUGGAAUGAUUGGGCGUAAAGCGUCUGUAGGUGGUUCAAAAAGUCUACUGUCAAGUACGUUGGCUCAACCAACGGCAGGCAUUAGAGUACUAUUGAACUAGAGUGUGGUAGAGGUAGAGGGAAUCCCUAGCGUAACAGUGAAAUGUGUAGAUUUUAGGGAGAACACCAGCGGCGAAGGCGCUCUACUGGGCCAUUACUGACACUGAGAGACGAAAGCUAAGGGAGCGAAAGGG